UACGUAGGGUGCGAGCGUUAAUCGGAAUUACUGGGCGUAAAGCGUGCGUAGGCGGUUCGCUGUGUCCGAUGUGAAAGCCCCGGGCUUAACCUGGGAAUGGCAUUGGAAACUGGCGGGCUUGAGUGUGGCAGAGGGGGGUGGAAUUCCGCGUGUAGCAGUGAAAUGCGUAGAGAUGCGGAGGAACACCGAUGGCGAAGGCAGCCCCCUGGGCUAACACUGACGCUCAGGCACGAAAGCGUGGGGAGCAAACAGG
This 253-nucleotide ribosomal RNA is filed under the name uncultured bacterium. Its description in RNAcentral is "partial 16S ribosomal RNA". It matches the Rfam family "Bacterial small subunit ribosomal RNA", at positions 524 to 776 of the family's 1533-position model. The record is from RNAcentral.